AACGCAUAUUGCGCCCCUUGGAAUUCCGGGGGGCAUGCCUGUUCGAGCGUUUUUUAGAAGCUCAAGCUCUGCUUGGUGUUGGGCGCUUGUCCCCGCUUCGGCGCGGACUCGCCUCAAAGGCAUUGGCGGUGACGGUACGGUGGCCGACAGCGAGCGCAAGCAGCGUGCGCGCUCUCCGCGGCUCCGUCCUGCGUCACGUCCAUAAAGGCUCCAUACCCCGUGUGACCUCGAAUCAGGUAGGGAUACCCGCUGAACUUAA
Molecule: unclassified non-coding RNA, 259 nt
Filed under: uncultured fungus
Lineage: Eukaryota; Fungi
Description: partial contains 5.8S ribosomal RNA, internal transcribed spacer 2, and large subunit ribosomal RNA
Source: RNAcentral